This is a long non-coding RNA of Ipomoea nil (Japanese morning glory), 171 nucleotides long. RefSeq lists it as uncharacterized. Lineage: Eukaryota; Viridiplantae; Streptophyta; Magnoliopsida; Solanales; Convolvulaceae. The transcript is spliced from 2 exons. The record is from RefSeq and is a predicted model, not a curated record.
UUGGUUUAAUACCUGCAGCUAAUUCCAGAUGGCUUGCAUUUCAUUUGGAAACAAUUAAGGUUCUUUGCUUGGAUCAUAGCUGCAUGUUGUGGGAAGAUAUUGAAGUAGCCUCCUUCCCAACUGCAAUAAAUCUGCAAGUAAUCAAACUGGAUUCUUUAAAGUUUGCCAAUG